This 421-nucleotide ribosomal RNA is filed under the name uncultured Algoriphagus sp. RNAcentral's name for it is "bacterial SSU rRNA". It matches the Rfam family "Bacterial small subunit ribosomal RNA", at positions 355 to 774 of the family's 1533-position model. The record is from RNAcentral. Lineage: Bacteria; Pseudomonadati; Bacteroidota; Cytophagia; Cytophagales; Cyclobacteriaceae.
UAGGGAAUAUUGGGCAAUGGACGAGAGUCUGACCCAGCCAUGCCGCGUGCAGGAAGAAGGCGUUCUGCGUUGUAAACUGCUUUUAUCUGGGAAGAAAAGGCCCAUGCGUGGGACAUUGCCGGUACCAGAUGAAUAAGCACCGGCUAACUCCGUGCCAGCAGCCGCGGUAAUACGGAGGGUGCAAGCGUUGUCCGGAUUUAUUGGGUUUAAAGGGUGCGUAGGCGGCUAUUUAAGUCAGCGGUGAAAGACUCCGGCUCAACCGGAGCAGUGCCAUUGAUACUGGAUAGCUUGAGUGUUGGAGGGGUACAUGGAAUUGAUGGUGUAGCGGUGAAAUGCAUAGAUACCAUCAGGAACACCGAUAGCGAAGGCAUUGUACUGGCCAACAACUGACGCUGAGGCACGAAAGCAUGGGGAGCGAACA